UAGGGAAUCUUCCACAAUGGCCGAAAGUCUGAUGGAGCAACGCCGCGUGAGUGAAGAAGGGUUUCGGCUCCUAAAACUCUGUUGUUAAAGCAGAACAUAUCUGAGAGUAACUGUUCAGGCAUUGACCGUACUUAACCAGAAAGCCACGGCUAACUACGUGCCAGCAGCCGCGGUAAUACGUAGGUGGCAAGCGUUGUCCGGAUGUAUUGGGCGUAAAGCGAGCGCAGGCGGUUUCUUAAGUCUGAUGUGAAAGCCUUCGGCUCAACCGAAGGAGUGCAUCGGAAAAUGGGAAACUUGAGUGCAGAAGAGGACAGUGGAACUCCAUGUGUAGCGGUGAAAUGCGUAGAUAUAUGGAAGAACACCAGUGGCGAAGGCGGCUGUCUGGUCUGUAACUGACGCUGAGGCUCGAAAGUAUGGGUAGCAAACAGG
Molecule: ribosomal RNA, 429 nt
Filed under: bacterium
Lineage: Bacteria
Description: partial 16S ribosomal RNA
Rfam family: Bacterial small subunit ribosomal RNA
Source: RNAcentral